Molecule: ribosomal RNA, 1162 nt
Filed under: Urceolus cf. cornutus
Lineage: Eukaryota; Euglenozoa; Peranemea; Peranemida; Peranemidae
Description: SSU rRNA
Rfam family: Eukaryotic small subunit ribosomal RNA
Source: RNAcentral
AAGGAGCUCCACCGGGGCAAUCCGAAUUGGGGCGCGAGAGGUGAAAUUCUUAGACCGCCUUAGGACGUCCUGCCGCGAAGGCAUUUCGCCAGAUGGUGUUUGUCAAUCAAGAACGAGAGUAUGGGGAUCGAAGACGAUUAGAUACCGUCGUAGUCCAUUCACUGUAAACUGUGCCGGCUCAGUGUUGGGAAGCGUUUCUGUUGCCCGUCUCUCCCACACAAGAAAGAAUGUCCCAGCGCUCCAUCCCCAAUUAUCGAGAAAUCCAGAGCUUCUGGGUUCAGGGGGGAGUACUAUCGCAAGAUUGAAACUUAAAGGAAUUGACGGAAUGACACCACCAGGCGUGGAGUCUGCGGCUUAAUUUGACUCAACACGGGGAACCUUACCAGAUCCGGACAAUGCUUGGAUUGACAGAUUGAUAGCUCUUUCUCGAUUCGUUGGACGGUGGUGCAUGGCCGUUCUUGGUUGGUGCCGCGAGGUGUCUGGUUCAUUCCGAUAACGAGCGAGAUACCUGCCUCUUAAUAGACGUCGUUGUCGUAAUCUGUAGGACGGGAAAAAAUGUGGGUCUUCUUUUGCCCCAUAUGCUCUCUCUAAUCCCUGUCCGAGACAACGCACAGCUUCUCCGAGGGACUCUGUGGGGUGGACUCACUCAACCCUCACGAAGAUAGUGUGCAACAGCAGGUCUGUGAUGCUCCCAGAUGUCCUGGGCUGCACGCGCACGACACUGGUGGAGAAAACGAGAGAACCCUUUUGUUUUGAUGCCCCGUUGGUUUGGACUUCUGUCCAUCCUCGGGUGCAUACAGGGCAAAAAAAGGGCCUUCCCUGUCAAGGGUGGGAAAUCUUUCAGCCUCUGCCGUGCUGGGGAUCGAGAAUUGCAAUUGUUUGCCGUGAACGAGGAAUGCCUAGUAUGCGCGGGUCAACAGCCCGCCCAGAUUGCGUCCCUGCCAUUUGUACACACCGCCCGUCGUUGCUACCGAUGAUGCGAUGACAGAAACCGAUGGAGAGAGGCACGUCGACGAGCAACCUUACCCCUCUCUCGCUCUCUCUAUCCACGAGGGGAAAAAAAGGGUCUCUACUCUGCUUCUCAAAUUCGAUUGAUGUUAUCUUAUUAGAGGAAGCAAAAGUCGUAACAAGGUAGAUGUAGGUGAACCUACAGCUGGAUCAU